UAACUGUGCUUGAGCAAGGCAGUGAAUUUCUAAAAGCACUAACUCUGGGUAAUCUUCACUGUUGUUAAAAAAGUGGCAGUAUUGACUAAUCCAUACAAGAAUCACGCCUCAGCCAACAUGGAAUUUCACUGCUGUACCCAUGUACAUGUACUUGUUUUGCACAGCGUCUUAUUUUUCUUGGUGUUUUGGAGUGAACACUGUGACUGUACUUCCAGGGGAGGGUAUUUUUAACCGGUGUGGCUGCACUGUAAACACCAGAACACUGUGUGUUCUCACUCCAAGAUUUAAACACCGCGGCCGACAGCAGACUCCCCGCGGCACGAAAGGCAAUACUGUGUGCAAGACAAAAAGCAAACGGAGAAGGAGGUAGAGAGACCACUGGAAAGAAUAAUAAUGUCUGAAAUAUUUUCCCAAUUUUGACCCAGGGGUCAUUAAGGAAUCUCCGCAGUGUUGGGGAAUGAUGCAGAAGUGGACAGACAACUGCAGAAAAUAUAUGGAGUCCGGCACACGGCGAGCCAGACCACCCAUGACUAGGACAAAUUCAGACACCCUCCACAAGCCAUCCUAUUGAACCUUCCCCCAAACCCCUCCCUCUGCUGGAACAAGCUGGCCCCCUCCCGCUCCCUCUAUUCUCUCUGUUGUUUCAGCAGUGUCAGAGUCACUCGAGGGGGACGAGCGAGAGCUGAGUGAGAGCCAGGAAGACAACCAGAGCACGCUUUGACCACUGACGUGCCGGACAAAACCAUAAAUGCAUCAUCACCGAUAAAACUGUGGUUAUCUAAGAUUGUGAUGACUGACAAAUGAUCAAAUAUUCCAAAAGUUUCCUUUUCAUGUUCUUGCUCUUCCUUUAUAUCCCUCCAAAUGUUAAUAACAGAUGCAAAUGUCACAGUCAUAGAGCUAAUAAAUGUAAAUGUUGAUGAUUAUAAGUGA
Micropterus salmoides (largemouth bass) is the source of this 930-nucleotide long non-coding RNA. RefSeq lists it as uncharacterized. The record is from RefSeq and is a predicted model, not a curated record. The transcript has 2 exons. NCBI's taxonomy places the organism in Eukaryota, Metazoa, Chordata, Actinopteri, Centrarchiformes, Centrarchidae.